RNAcentral lists this transfer RNA (74 nucleotides) under Haemaphysalis longicornis (longhorned tick). It matches the Rfam family "tRNA". From Rfam's summary of the family: Transfer RNA (tRNA) molecules are approximately 80 nucleotides in length. Their secondary structure includes four short double-helical elements and three loops (D, anti-codon, and T loops). Further hydrogen bonds mediate the characteristic L-shaped molecular structure. tRNAs have two regions of fundamental functional importance: the anti-codon, which is responsible for specific mRNA codon recognition, and the 3' end, to which the tRNAs corresponding amino acid is attached (by aminoacyl-tRNA synthetases). tRNAs cope with the degeneracy of the genetic code in two manners: having more than one tRNA (with a specific anti-codon) for a particular amino acid; and 'wobble' base-pairing, i.e. permitting non-standard base-pairing at the 3rd anti-codon position. Lineage: Eukaryota; Metazoa; Arthropoda; Arachnida; Ixodida; Ixodidae. The record is from Rfam by way of RNAcentral.
GGCCCGCUAGCUCAGUUGGUUAGACCAUCGCGCUAAUAACGCGAAGGUCGUAGGUUCGAUCCCUGCGCGGGCCA